CCUACGGGAGGCAGCAGUGGGGAAUAUUGCGCAAUGGGCGAAAGCCUGACGCCGCGACGCCGCGUGAGGGAUGAAGGUCUUCGGAUCGUACACCUCUGUCAGCAGUGAAGAACGGUCACUGUGCUAAUCAGCAGUGAAUUGACUGUACCUGCAAAGGAAGCACCGGCUAACUCCGUGCCAGCAGCCGCGGUAAUACGUAGGGUGCGAGCGUUAAUCGGAAUUACUGGGCGUAAAGCGCUCGUAGGCGGUAUGUCAAGUCAACGGUGAAAUCCCCGCGCUCAACGUGGGAACUGCCUUUGAAACUGGCAAACUGGAGUGUGUGAGAGGAUAGUGGAAUUCCAGGUGUAGGAGUGAAAUCCGUAGAUAUCUGGAGGAACAUCAGUGGCGAAGGCGACUAUCUGGCACAUAACUGACGCUGAGGAGCGAAAGCGUGGGUAGCAAACAGGAUUAGAUACCCCAGUAGUC
RNAcentral lists this ribosomal RNA (465 nucleotides) under uncultured bacterium. RNAcentral's name for it is "partial 16S ribosomal RNA". It matches the Rfam family "Bacterial small subunit ribosomal RNA", at positions 338 to 795 of the family's 1533-position model. The record is from RNAcentral.